UCGGACCUGGCCCCCCGGGAAGCGUCGGAAGCAGGCCCUGGCGCCUCGGCCACCGGCGACGGACCCAGACAUGACUACUAGAUAGCUGCGAGGGGGAGUGGGACCCCGCUGUCUGCUGCGGGGCGCCCGAGGCCGGGAGAGGACGUCGACGAGACUUAACUCAGUUACCGCGGAGGAAUACUGUGAAUUGCAGUGGCAUCAGUGACCGGGAGAAAUUGGAAUUUAAGUGUGUUGUUUUGGGCAUCAUUACGCUGAGGCUCUUAGAAAGACUGGUGUAGGGGAAUGGACGUAAACCCGCGGAAAGCGCUGUUGAUUGCCGGCAUCCCCCAGACCUGUAAAGGGCAGAAAUUCAGGAGGCUCUGCGAUCUGGUUUAGCUCCCUUGAGCGAGUACCGACUGCUCGGGAGGAUGUUCCGGAGGGAAGAGGACAGGAAUGCAGCCUUAAUAGGACUUACUGAGGAGACGAGUCAUGCUCUGGUCCCUAAAGAGAUACCCGGAAGCGGGGGUGCCUGGAGAGUGAUCUUUAAGACCCCUGACUCAGACAGUGAAUUUUUAAGCAGGUUACAUGAAUUCCUAGAGGGAGAGGGCGUGAUAUUGGGUGAGUUUACCAGAGCUCUUGGGUAUGGAAACGGCCUUUUUGACCUAGACCAGGACAUGAUCCCAGAAGUGCGGGCCCCCAUGUUGGCACAGGCAUUAGAUGAGGCUCUUCAGCUUGCCCUGCAACACCUGAAAUACAAAAAGCUGAGCGUAUUCUCAGGCAGUGAUCCUCCAGAGCCAGAAGAAGAAGAGUUUGAAUCCUAGCUGUUUCAUGCCACGCAAAUGAUGAAGACACGGCAGGUGUCAGAUGCCGAAAAAAGAAGGCGAUUGCUAGAGAGCCUUAGAGGCCCGGCAUCUGAUAUCAUUCGUGUCCUCAAGAUAAACAGCCCU
Molecule: non-coding RNA, 926 nt
Organism: Kogia breviceps (pygmy sperm whale)
Lineage: Eukaryota; Metazoa; Chordata; Mammalia; Artiodactyla; Physeteridae
Source: RefSeq, a predicted model, not a curated record